GGCAACCUUAUACUCUAUAGAAUGCCAGAGCUGGAAUGGACCUCUGACAUCACCUGAUCUAACUCCUUGAUUUUACAAAAGAGGAAACUGAGGUUUAAAGCAAGAGACUUGAUCAAAAAUCAAAGCUAAUUGGUUGUAGAACCAAAAUAUAAUGGACUGGGUGGGAGUUGAGGGAGAGACUGGACUUGGAAAGAUGGGUCAUUCACUUCAGCUUAAAAGUAAAUGAAACUCAGGUGUCCUUAGGAAACAGAUUUGAAGAGUCCAAUUUGACUCCUGGGCAAUAUCUCUGGGUGCUGAGUACUUGAGGAUGGGAGGUGUGGAACCCAGAGAGCCGGAGAAGGAGUAUUUGGGACAGGAGACCAGACAAGAUUUAUUGCCUCUUCUGACACUGACCUUGUAGGUGGAAAAGUCAUCAUUGUGCACAUGAGUCAUCAUUACUCCUCAGAGCUGCAGAAAUGCUGGCCAGUGGAAUUUUUUUGCUGUGGAGAGAAGGUUGGAUAAGUCACUUUUUAACUGUAACUUCUCAGUAUAG
RNAcentral lists this long non-coding RNA (532 nucleotides) under Phascolarctos cinereus (koala). RNAcentral's name for it is "lncRNA (ENSPCIG00000034676.1)". The record is from RNAcentral. Lineage: Eukaryota; Metazoa; Chordata; Mammalia; Diprotodontia; Phascolarctidae.